GCAAACUUGGUCAUUUAGAGGAAGUACAAGUCGUAACAAGGUUUCCGUAGGUGAACCUGCGGAAGGAUCAUUAACAAAUCGUGUGUAUUGUGUGUGUGUGUGUGUGUUUAACAUGCAUACAAUAUAUAUAUGUGCGCCAGCAUAUCAUGCUGGAAUGCAAAAUAUUCAUGAUUAGUGUGAAUAAUCAAUGUGAUAAUACAACAAAACAUACUUUUAACAAUGGAUCUCUUGGCUCUUGCAUCGAUGAAGAACGCAGC
RNAcentral lists this unclassified non-coding RNA (257 nucleotides) under uncultured fungus. RNAcentral's name for it is "partial contains small subunit ribosomal RNA, internal transcribed spacer 1, and 5.8S ribosomal RNA". The stretch from base 1 to 73 matches the Rfam family "Eukaryotic small subunit ribosomal RNA", at positions 1759 to 1831 of the family's 1831-position model. The record is from RNAcentral. Lineage: Eukaryota; Fungi.